GACGUAGGGCGCGAGCGUUGUCCGGAUUUAUUGGGCGUAGAGAGCUCGUAGGCGGCUCGUUGCGUCAACCGUGAAAACCCGGGGCUUAACUUCGGGCUUGCGGUUGAUACGGGCGGGCUGGAGUUCGGUAGGGGAGACUGGAAUUCCUGGUGUAGCGGUGAAAUGCGCAGAUAUCGGGAAGAACACCGAUGGCGAAGGCAGGUCUCUGGGCAUUAACUGACGCUGAGGAGCGAAAGCAUGGGGAGCGAACAGG
RNAcentral lists this ribosomal RNA (253 nucleotides) under uncultured bacterium. RNAcentral describes it as "partial 16S ribosomal RNA". It matches the Rfam family "Bacterial small subunit ribosomal RNA", at positions 524 to 776 of the family's 1533-position model. The record is from RNAcentral.